UGAAAGGGAAUCCUAAGUACUUUACUUUUAGUAAGGUUUUUGCCAUAUGUAAAUAGUAUGGCGAAUAAGUGGUGGGUAAGACUUGUGCCAGCCGCCGCGGUAACACCAGCGCCACAAGUAGCAUCCACGGUUAUUGGACCUAAAGCGUACGUAGCCGGUUCGAUAAAUUUUCUGUGAAAUCGUUGGGCUUAACUCAACGGCAUGCAGAAAACACUAUCGAACUUGGGAUCGGGAGGAACCAGAGGUAUUUUUGGGGGAGCGGUAAAAUGCUAUAAUCCCAGAAGGACCACCGGUGGCGAAGGCGUCUGGUUAGAACGAAUCCGACGGUCAGGUACGAAAGCCAAGGGAGCAAUCCGGAUUAGAUACGAGAAAUUAUGUCUGAUUUCUGGAGUUAGUUCAUAAAUUGUUCUGUAAGACUAUUAUGAAUUGAUGAAAGAAAUUGCUAUAUGAUAAUUCACUCGCUAACUACCCGAGUAGUCUUGGCUGUAAACUCUGCGAGCUAGGUGUUACAUGUUCUUCGUGAAUAUGUGGUGUCGUAGUGAAGACGUUAAGCUCGCCGCCUGGGAAGUAUGGUCGCAAGGCUGAAACU
Molecule: ribosomal RNA, 589 nt
Filed under: uncultured bacterium
Lineage: Bacteria
Description: bacterial SSU rRNA
Rfam family: Archaeal small subunit ribosomal RNA
Source: RNAcentral